UCACAAGAUGUACAUUGAAGCUGCAAAGCCAAACAAAGAUUACUGGUAUUUUAUUUUUCCCUGAGAAGAAACACCCCAGUGUUCUCACAAGUGUCUCCUCUCGGGUUUCUGCAGAGAUCUCAGCAAAGUCACACAAUGGGCUCAGAUUUUCAAAGUAGUGCUCUGAUGUUUGUUUGCAAUUUGAAAGUUAUUUUCCUUGCAAUGUGAAAUGUGUGGACAGUUGUUUAUGAUAAUAAAACACUUUACUACGAUUACAAAA
Long non-coding RNA from Polypterus senegalus (gray bichir), 259 nucleotides. RefSeq lists it as uncharacterized. The record is from RefSeq and is a predicted model, not a curated record. Lineage: Eukaryota; Metazoa; Chordata; Cladistia; Polypteriformes; Polypteridae. The transcript is spliced from 2 exons.